Gossypium arboreum is the source of this 606-nucleotide long non-coding RNA. RefSeq lists it as uncharacterized. NCBI's taxonomy places the organism in Eukaryota, Viridiplantae, Streptophyta, Magnoliopsida, Malvales, Malvaceae. The record is from RefSeq and is a predicted model, not a curated record. The transcript is spliced from 2 exons.
UAAAAAUGCUACAUCAUCACUUCCGUUUACCAUUUUACAGAAAGUGACCAAAAUAGAACGAUCUAAAACGUGAGUGCCCAAAACAAAAAUGGUCUAAAAUAACUAGUAAUUAAACUAAAAAAAAUUAUAAUUGAGUGAUCAAAACAGAAAUAAAUUAGGUGACUAAUUUAUAGUUUACCCUAAAAUAAAUCAGAGAAAAUAAUAGGGCGAAAACCUGCAAGUCGUGCCGCCGGGGCAUGGCGAAGGACAGCCACAUCUAUCGUUACACGCAGCGAGUCCUCUAACUUCAACCUUGGAAUCCGCCAUUUUGUACCGUUAAGUGUUCGUUAAAUUGCGUAAAAGGAUUGCGGAAAAGCUACCACAUGGCAAUGUGUCGGAUAAAUGGGAAGAGUUCAUGAAGCUGUGUCGUACUUAUAGUGCAAAAAAGUUACGUGUACCUAAAAUCCUGUAAAUUGUUAAGAGUUUUUGUUCGAAUUUGUCAUCUAUGAAUUAAUGAGAUUUAUUGUCGAUCUUAUAUAAACAAAUCUUAUUCUUACAUUAGUUGUCAAUUUAUGCCAUGUUAAACAUACUAUACCAAACCUCAAUAUAUAUACCAAAAUUUUUAUA